This 901-nucleotide ribosomal RNA is filed under the name uncultured bacterium. RNAcentral's name for it is "bacterial SSU rRNA". It matches the Rfam family "Bacterial small subunit ribosomal RNA", at positions 41 to 939 of the family's 1533-position model. The record is from RNAcentral.
UUCAGGCCUAACACAUGCAAGUCGAGCGAGAAAGCCUCUUCGGAGGUGAGUACAGCGGCGGACGGUUGAGUAACACGUGAGAAUUUGCCCUUCAGUGAAGAAUACCCUCGAGAAAUCGAGGCUAAUGCUGCAUACGUCCCUCCGGGGAGAAAGGCGGCCUCUUGCUGUCGCUGAAGGAUGAGCUUGCGGGCUAUCAGUUUGUUGGUGGGGUAAAGGCCUACCAAGACUAUGACGGCUAGCCGGCCUGAGAGGGUGAUCGGCCAGACUGGAACUUAGAUACGGUCCAGACUCCUACGGGAGGCAGCAGUGAGGAAUAUUGCGCAAUGGGCGAAAGCCUGACGCAGCGACGCCGCGUGGAGGAUGACGGUCUUCGGAUUGUAAACUCCUGUUAAGUGGGAAGAAAAGCUCGUUGCCAAUACCAACGAGUCAUGACGGUACCAUUAGAGAAAGCACCGGCUAACUUCGCGCCAGCAGCCGCGGUAAUACGAGGGGUGCUAGCGUUAUUCGGAAUCAUUGGGCGUAAAGGGCGUGUAGACGGCGCACUAAGUCAACUGUUAAAUACCUCAGCCUAACUGAGGAUCAGCGGUAGAUACUGGUGUGCUAGAGGAUGGAAGAGAGAAGUGGAAUUCUCGGAGUAGCGGUAAAAUGCGUAGAUCUCGAGAGGAACACCGAUGGCGAAGGCAGCUUCUUGGUCCAUACCUGACGUUGAGGCGCGAAAGCGUGGGGAGCAAACAGGAUUAGAUACCCUGGUAGUCCACGCUGUAAACGAUGAUCACUGGACGUCAGUUCUGUUUUACAGGAUUGGUGUCGAAGCUAACGCGUUAAGUGAUCCGCCUGGGGACUACGGUCGCAAGAUUAAAACUCAAAGGAAUUGACGGGGGUCCGCACAAGCGGUGGAACA